AACAAUUUUAACCACUGCCACUGUAAAGACGGGUUUGUUCCUCCUAACUGCCAACCAAAGAAAGGAGAAUUUGGAAGUAUCGAUGAUGGACACGAGAUUAAAACUGCUAAAAGUUACUUGGAGGAAACAUCUCCCACUCUUCCAAAACACCGAUUUCAACUCAUUUUCUACAUUUCUGUACCUGUGCUCAUCAUUACUGCUGCUUUUUUAGUAAAGUGGAAGAAAAUAAAAGAGCAAUGCUACAGAGGGGAAACUGAAAGUGAGAGAUCUGUGUCAGAAGAAAGCAGCCGUAGCAGCAAGUCAUCCUCCAGUGAAAGUAACAGUCUCUGACAACCUUGGCCUGGAGAGAGGAUAGUACCAAAUAAAUC
This is a non-coding RNA of Ceratotherium simum simum (southern white rhinoceros), 368 nucleotides long. NCBI's taxonomy places the organism in Eukaryota, Metazoa, Chordata, Mammalia, Perissodactyla, Rhinocerotidae. The record is from RefSeq and is a predicted model, not a curated record.